AAAGUCGUAACAAGGUAACCGUAGGUGAACCUGCGGUUGGAUCAUUAGAAAAAUGAUGGACAGUGUCGAGUUCCCUCUUGGGGUUGAGCUCUUCGCUGGCCACAAACCACUUGUGCAACAUUAUUGUUUUUUGGAGGUGCUUCGGUGCCUCCAGCAUGUUAACAACUUGAACCUUUGACUAAGUAUGAGAUAAAUUGAUAACAACUUUUGACAACGGAUCUCUUGGCUCUC
RNAcentral lists this unclassified non-coding RNA (231 nucleotides) under Chytridiomycota sp. RNAcentral describes it as "partial contains small subunit ribosomal RNA, internal transcribed spacer 1, and 5.8S ribosomal RNA". The stretch from base 1 to 47 matches the Rfam family "Eukaryotic small subunit ribosomal RNA", at positions 1785 to 1831 of the family's 1831-position model. The record is from RNAcentral. Lineage: Eukaryota; Fungi; Chytridiomycota.